GCUGUUUUCUACAAACAGGCUGAAGCAAAGUUUGGCUAUCUUCUGGAGGCUCUUGACAUGGGUGCUCCUCCUCAUGGUGGAAUUGCUAAUGGAUUAGAUAGGAUGGUAAUGAUGCUGGCAGGUGCGAGUUCCAUAAGGGAUGUAAUAGCUUUCCCAAAGACAACCACUGCGCAAUGUGCACUAACCAGAACUCCCUCGGAAGUCGAUCCAAAGCAGCUCCAAGAUCUCUCCAUCCGCACCAACUAAUAGCGAUCUCAUCACAAGCAUCAUUUAUGUCUUUAAUGCUAUGAGAAGAGGAGUAAGUAGAGAUGUGGUAGUGGUAUAUCUCACCUUUACUAACCUGGUUCAUGUGAUUGAUUACACAUGAAACUCAUCACUUGCAUCAAAUUCUCUUUACUUUUUUUGGUUUUGUUUUAUUAUUCUCACAAAGUCUUCUUGCAGACUAAGGUAUUGGUUUAGAGCAAAGGGAAAGCUUUCUGAUGACCAAGCCUUGCAUCGAUGUGUUGUGGCAUUUGCUUCGGAUUUGAUAUUUGCAAGUAUCAGUUUGAACCCUCGCCGUAUAGCCGGUGAAUUCUUCUUAUAACAAAUUGCUGACAGAAUUCGUAAGUAAAUAAUAAUAGUUGCAUCUUCCAAUUUCGAAUGAUAAGUCGUAUUGUUCUAAAAAAAUUCAAAAGCCUUGCAAAACUUAAGAUCAAAAGUCUUGAAGGAACGUAAAUUGGAAAUUCCUGAAAACACAACAACCAUAUAAACGAUGAAUUUUUUUUUUAAAUACAUAACUCAUAUAUCGUUUUGAUAACCUAAUAACAUAGAAAUUAAAAUAUAUUGUAGUAUAAUUACAUAUAAACUACAAAAUUAAGAAUUUCACUAUAGAUGGGAUGAAGCUGCUCUCGACAAAUCUGAUAAAACUAAAAAAGGUUAGUAAUCAAUUUUUGAAAAAUCAUAGAUUAUUUUUUUCAUUGAAUUAUUUGUAUACUAUACCAAGAAUCGUAUUUUAGUAUUUGUUUUAACUACAUAUAAUAGAAUUAACUAAAUAUAAAUUA
Brassica napus (rape) is the source of this 1040-nucleotide long non-coding RNA. RefSeq lists it as uncharacterized. NCBI's taxonomy places the organism in Eukaryota, Viridiplantae, Streptophyta, Magnoliopsida, Brassicales, Brassicaceae. The transcript has 3 exons. The record is from RefSeq and is a predicted model, not a curated record.